CAGGAGUAAAAUAGCGUUGUUCCUGAGACGAGAGUCAGUGGAACAGACCGGUUUUCUUCCGGUCCUGUCGAUUGGCGCAAUUGGGUCCUGCGCGGCAGAUGUCUGUGAACCCCGCUAGGUCCGUGAGGAAGCAACGGUAAGUGGACCUCUCUGGGUGUUGCAGGGGUGCCUGAUUGCGCUAAUCGGCAGGACCGGGCGAAAAUCGGUUUUCUG
Ktedonobacter sp. 13_2_20CM_2_54_8 is the source of this 213-nucleotide non-coding RNA. NCBI's taxonomy places the organism in Bacteria, Bacillati, Chloroflexota, Ktedonobacteria, Ktedonobacterales, Ktedonobacteraceae. The record is from Rfam.